Molecule: ribosomal RNA, 491 nt
Filed under: uncultured bacterium
Lineage: Bacteria
Description: partial 16S ribosomal RNA
Rfam family: Bacterial small subunit ribosomal RNA
Source: RNAcentral
AGUGAACGCUGGCGGUAGGCCUAACACAUGCAAGUCGAACGGCAGCACAGUAAGAGCUUGCUCUUACGGGUGGCGAGUGGCGGACGGGUGAGGAAUACAUCGGAAUCUACUUUUUCGUGGGGGAUAACGCAGGGAAACUUACGCUAAUACCGCAUACGACCUACGGGUGAAAGCAGGGGAUCUUCGGACCUUGCGCGAUUGAAUGAGCCGAUGUCGGAUUAGCUAGUUGGCGGGGUAAAGGCCCACCAAGGCGACGAUCCGUAGCUGGUCUGAGAGGAUGAUCAGCCACACUGGAACUGAGACACGGUCCAGACUCCUACGGGAGGCAGCAGUGGGGAAUAUUGGACAAUGGGCGCAAGCCUGAUCCAGCCAUACCGCGUGGGUGAAGAAGGCCUUCGGGUUGUAAAGCCCUUUGUUGGGAAAGAAAAGCAGCAGGUUAAUACCCCGCUGUUCUGACGGUACCCAAAGAAUAAGCACCGGCUAACUUCGUG